Molecule: ribosomal RNA, 206 nt
Filed under: uncultured bacterium
Lineage: Bacteria
Description: partial 16S ribosomal RNA
Rfam family: Bacterial small subunit ribosomal RNA
Source: RNAcentral
GCGCAGGCGGAGAUGUAAGCCAGACGUGAAAUCCCGAAGCUCAACUUCGGAACUGCAUUUGGAACUACAUCCCUUGAGGAUAGGCGGAGAGAACGGAAUUCCACGUGUAGCGGUGAAAUGCGUAGAUAUGUGGAAGAACACCCGUGGCGAAGGCGGUUCUCUAGCUUAUUCCUGACGCUCAAGCCCGAAAGCGAGGGGAGCGAACA